CUUUGACCCCUUCCAUGAAUCUGUCUUGAGAACCUACCACGUGUCAGGGGCCGAGUCACAGGGAACAAACCAUGUCUGUCGCUGCUCUCCGGGAGCAGACGUUCCAGUGAGCGGAGCCAACGGCAGCCACUAUCACGCGCCUAAACGUUUCAUUACAAACAGAGCCUGAGGGUUAUGAAGAGGCACAAGGAGCCACGAGAAAGGUUGGAGGCAGGCUCUCCCCUCAAUUAGGUCAGAGAAACCCCCUCUGGAGAAGGGCAUUCAAGUUGAGAGCCAAGGAAAGGGGAAGCUUGGUGAGAAGAAUGUUCCAGAGAUGUGUGAAGGCAUUCGGGAGGGAGGCCAUUUUGCUCCUGGAGCCAAAAGGAGGCCAGGCUGUCACAGCCCAGAGAGAGGCAUGUCCACCCUUCUCUACGGGCUGCCACGUUGGCACUGCACGACCCCGCCCCCACCCAUAGUUGAUUGGACCAGGCGUGGACAUGUGACCCAGCUGGGCCAAUCCGAUUCUCUCUCCCGGGCUCUGGAGCUGCAACGCCUUAAUGCUCUUGCUAGGGGAGCUGUCGGAGGCCAGGUCCUGCUGCAAAGACUGGGAAAAGGAGAGAGGAGUGAAGCGGGAGCAGAGAGAAGAAACACAAGAUGGUCUGGAUUGGUGACCGAUCAGAUCCCUACUUCCAGUCUCUUCUGGAGCCCUGGCUGCCUCCCUGCCCUUGGCUGUCAUGGACAAACCUUGUAAUAAAUUUCUCUUUUCCGUUGGUCCAGCAGGAGUGGUUUUCCGUUCCCUGCAGCUAGAAUCCUCGUUAAUACAGAUAUCUAAUAACAUCAUAAUAGUAAUAGCUGAGAUUUAUAGAAUGCUUAUUGUGUGCCAUGUACUUUUCCAAGGGGUUUAUCUGGAUUCUGUUAUUUAAACCUCUCGACAACUCUACGUGGUAUGCAUUGUUAUUCCCAUUUCACAGCUGAAGAAGCUGAGGCACAGAUAGGCUCGCUUGCUCAGGGUCACACAGCUAGUGAAGCCAGAUGUGAAGC
This 1020-nucleotide long non-coding RNA is filed under the name Equus asinus (donkey). RNAcentral's name for it is "lncRNA (ENSEASG00005027936.1)". Lineage: Eukaryota; Metazoa; Chordata; Mammalia; Perissodactyla; Equidae. The record is from RNAcentral.